UCCCUGGUGGCUCAGACAGUAGAGAAUCUGCUUGCAAUGCAGGAGACCUGGGUUCGAUCCCUGGGUUGGGAA
Ovis aries (sheep) is the source of this 72-nucleotide transfer RNA. It matches the Rfam family "tRNA". Rfam says of the family: Transfer RNA (tRNA) molecules are approximately 80 nucleotides in length. Their secondary structure includes four short double-helical elements and three loops (D, anti-codon, and T loops). NCBI's taxonomy places the organism in Eukaryota, Metazoa, Chordata, Mammalia, Artiodactyla, Bovidae. The record is from Rfam.